AGGGGAGUGGUCUAGUGGUUAUGACGCCAGUCUCACACACUGGAUAUCGAGGGUUCAAUUCCCUCCUUCCCUACCA
Molecule: transfer RNA, 76 nt
Filed under: Promethearchaeota archaeon
Lineage: Archaea; Promethearchaeati; Promethearchaeota
Description: Candidatus Lokiarchaeota archaeon tRNA-Val
Rfam family: tRNA
About the family: Transfer RNA (tRNA) molecules are approximately 80 nucleotides in length.
Source: RNAcentral